Molecule: transfer RNA, 87 nt
Filed under: Candidatus Doudnaibacteriota bacterium
Lineage: Bacteria; Candidatus Doudnaibacteriota
Description: Candidatus Doudnabacteria bacterium tRNA-Tyr
Rfam family: tRNA
About the family: Transfer RNA (tRNA) molecules are approximately 80 nucleotides in length. Their secondary structure includes four short double-helical elements and three loops (D, anti-codon, and T loops).
Source: RNAcentral
GGGCAGGUACCCAAGCGGUCAACGGGGACUGACUGUAAAUCAGUUGACUUUAUGUCUUCAUAGGUUCGAAUCCUAUCCUGCCCACCA